UCUACGCUAUCAACACCUACAUCUUCUCUGCACCGCAAAACUCAGCCACUUCAUCUUCUCUGCUCUACGAAACUCAGCCCCUUCAUAUGGUUUGUUUUUCUAGUUCACUCGGUGGCUGCUGGUUCAUCAGGUUUGCUUAAAACAGAUACCAAAAUGUAAGUGUAGGUAGAAUUGUGAUUGGAUUAUAUGGUUAGGUUGUACCAAAAACUGUUGGUACGUGUUCAUUUCAUGUUGGUUUGUUUGUGACAAAUGAAAUGGCAAGAGAGCUGGGAAAUAUUCUUCUUCUACAGGCCAAAAGUUAACAAAGAGGAAGCUCACAGCCCAGAUGAUGUUCUAGUGAAAAAGGUGCAAAGAAGAAGGGAUCAAAUUCUAGUGAAAAAGGUUCUAGCGGUAGUCAAAGUAGUGAAGGUGGGCAUGGUAGGCAGGAAGUGAACAUUGAGAACCAACCAUUGCUGAGGUUCAUAGUGAUGGGAAGGAAAUCCUAUACUAUGAAAAAUUAUGUAUUAUUUUUCCCCAAAAAUCUUUUUUAUAUGACCCAAAAUUCUAUGAAGUUUGUAUGAGGUUCUGCAUUAUUAA
Molecule: long non-coding RNA, 576 nt
Organism: Prunus dulcis (almond)
Lineage: Eukaryota; Viridiplantae; Streptophyta; Magnoliopsida; Rosales; Rosaceae
Exons: 3
Source: RefSeq, a predicted model, not a curated record